This 465-nucleotide ribosomal RNA is filed under the name Vreelandella stevensii. RNAcentral describes it as "partial 16S ribosomal RNA". It matches the Rfam family "Bacterial small subunit ribosomal RNA", at positions 338 to 795 of the family's 1533-position model. The record is from RNAcentral. Lineage: Bacteria; Pseudomonadati; Pseudomonadota; Gammaproteobacteria; Oceanospirillales; Halomonadaceae.
CCUACGGGUGGCAGCAGUGGGGAAUAUUGGACAAUGGGCGAAAGCCUGAUCCAGCCAUGCCGCGUGUGUGAAGAAGGCCUUCGGGUUGUAAAGCACUUUCAGUGGGGAAGAAAGCCUUGGGGCUAAUACCCUCGAGGAAGGACAUCACCCACAGAAGAAGCACCGGCUAACUCCGUGCCAGCAGCCGCGGUAAUACGGAGGGUGCGAGCGUUAAUCGGAAUUACUGGGCGUAAAGCGCGCGUAGGCGGUCUGAUAAGCCGGUUGUGAAAGCCCCGGGCUCAACCUGGGAACGGCAUCCGGAACUGUCAGGCUAGAGUGCAGGAGAGGAAGGUAGAAUUCCCGGCGUAGCGGUGAAAUGCGUAGAGAUCGGGAGGAAUACCAGUGGCGAAGGCGGCCUUCUGGACUGACACUGACGCUGAGGUGCGAAAGCGUGGGUAGCAAACAGGAUUAGAUACCCCAGUAGUC